This 225-nucleotide long non-coding RNA is filed under the name Daphnia pulex (common water flea). RNAcentral's name for it is "uncharacterized LOC124194032, transcript variant X1". The record is from RNAcentral. Lineage: Eukaryota; Metazoa; Arthropoda; Branchiopoda; Diplostraca; Daphniidae.
AUCACACUCCAUGCUUUUGGGCGGAUUUGAGUCUUUGAACCAGCCAACGUAACAACAAGAUAUUCCAGUUUUGCUUCUGCUGGACCUGUCAUCACAGCAACAAUGUCAUCAUCAUCACUUGGAUAAACAGCAUCCCUGUUGAUUGGAGAUUCUACCCAUGGCCGAGCUACGUAUCUCUUCCUUCCUUCCCCUUUCUUAAAAUGUCCUCGUGUACACUUCAUGUGA